GAUAAGAAGUGUGAGAAUACUUACAAGGGGAGAUAGAGUCAACGUUUGUAAUGGCUCAGCCAUUCCCAGUCCUUAUUCAAUCCUAAAUUGAUUGUAUCUAGUUUGCAUAUCAAUUCCAGCUCAGCAGUCUCUCGUUGGAGUCUGUUUUUGAAGUUUUUCUGUUGUAAUAUAGCCACCCGCAGGUCUGACAUUGAAUGGCCAGACAGGUUAAAGUGUUCUCCCACUGGUUUUUGAGUAUUAUGAUUCCUGAUGUCAGAUUUGUGUCCAUUAAUUCUUUUGCGUAGAUCAUAAUACUGUCUGGACCUCCGGCCUGGGCUCCUCGGCCCUUCGCUUGGGACACCCACGAGUCUGAGUCCAAAGUGUUCCCCGCCCGUCCCCGUCUAGUAGCAUCCAUCACAGUCCUGUUCUCACAGACACCUGCACCCAGAAAUCCUCCAACUUCUGCCCAGCCCCGCGGAGCCUCCUGGGGCCUGGAGAGUGACAGAAGCCAAGCGUUAUGACCUAUGGUGUUGGUGUAAAUUUCACCCCCCCACGCACAUACACUCACGUCUCCUGUUGUUUUUAUUCACUCAGCUUCUCCAGCGACGGAGGUGAUCGUAAAUACUGCGACCGCCACCCCACCCCCGACAGCUGCCCAAAGUCCGGCGAUGCCAGGCACCACCUCUGCAGCGCACGCCCCAGGCGAGCCAACUGGAAUCACAGAUACAGCCACUACUGCAGAGACAGUCGUGUUUCUCACUCGUCUUGUGACCAACAGCCCAGAUGAGACACAGCAAACAGUGGGCACCAUUAUCAUAGUGGAAACACUCACACCUGGCCAUGCCGGAGGUGGGCCCACCCAGGCCUCAGUUUCCCUUCUAGGCAUUAGCCCAGCUACGGCCUCUGCAACAGCCGUCAGCACUCCACUAGAAGAGACAGUCGGUGUUUCUGGUCAAGCAGCUCCCACCACAAAUGCAGCAAGUUCCACCCCCAUGGCAGACAUGCCGACAGCUGUCUUCUCGACCCUGGCCCCAGAGGAGACCUGGAGUACGGUGGGCUCCUUCAGUACAGCAGAGCCAUCCAGAGGUGUCCCCAUGACGACCGAGCUAGCUGACAGUACAGCAGCCACGCAUGCCACUGUCACGAGACGCCCAGCAGAGACUGAAACGACGGUGAUCAGCAUCGUACCAGCAGACGCUGCGACAGCCACCCCUGUCAGCACCACCCUUCCCAGUGCCAUAGCAACCUCUGCAACACCCACGGAAACAAGUACCGCAGCAGAGACCACCAGGCCUGCCUCUGUGCCAACUACCCCCAGUGCCACCAUGACGAGAGGGGGUCAGGCUGUAGUAGUACAAACAUUCACCACUGUCUUUUUCUCUAUCCCAGCUGAGCCCUCAACAGCAGAAACCACCGGCACGACUGCAGCAAAACAGACACUGGCAACUGCCUCUGACCCCUCUUUCGUAGUCAGAACCGUAACAGAAUGGGAGACAGCAUCCGGCGAAACUGAAACUACAGUGAGCAUCACAACAGCAGCGGGGAGCACGAUGGCACAGCCUGACCCCAGUGUCUCGGCGGGGAGCACAGGAACAGACCCUGCAGCUCCAGCGCUCUCCACCACAGACCCUCCCACCCCAGCGCCCAGUGAAACUCCAGCUGUACCGGCCACCACGACAGCAGCCACGGCCACUGGAGCAGCCACUGUCACAAGCCAGCACGUUCCAAGCACAGCCGCCGAAGCCACCACCCCCACAGCAGAGGCCAGCCCAGCAGCCCCACCUAUAGUGCAAUCCACACCAAAUGCAACCCCAGCUUUACUGACCACCACCUCGGCAGCAGAGACCACCAGAGCCACUCCUGACAUCACCCCACCCCUUGGAACCACAAAGACAGCAACCCCGACCACAGCAACCCAGGCUGUCCCCACGCCAGCUGACACGACACCCAUGGCAACUCUGACCAGCGCAGGAGAAACCACCGCAGCAACUCCAACAACCACCGCACCCCUGGAGACUGCUGCAGGAAGAGAGACACUCACAACAGCCUCUGUCGUUGCCACGCCAAACACAACCACAACUCAAGGGGCUGUCCCCACAGCGACAGAAACCAGCCCUUCAGUGCUUGUCACCCUCACCCCGCCGAGGGUGACUACCACGGCUGUUCAGACCACCGCACCAACGUCUGUCACCGCGUCCCCAAUGGAAACAGCAUCAACAGUGGGCUCCAGCACAGAAACCACCCCGGUGGCCAACAGCCCCACUGGUGUGUCGAGUACUGCAACAAGCGAGAGCACAGCCCCAGCUCCUCGCACCACGGCAGCAGAAAGGGGAACUUCAACGGGCACCAUGACAGAGACACUCAUCACCAGCACAACAGCUAAUACCACAACCGCCGUCAGCACCACUGCAGCAACAGAGGUUCCCCAAACACUCCGUACUACCACCGUCCCAGCUGGAAACACAACGGUUACAUUCCCAGCUACGGGAGGAGGGACAAACACAACCGCACAGGAUACCCCCCCACCGGCUCUAACUACACCUAUAGUGCAAUCCACACCAAAUGCAACCCCAGCUUUACUGACCACCACCUUGGCAGCAGAGACCACCAGAGCCACUCCUGACAUCACCCCACCCCGUGGAACCACAAAGACAGCGACCCCGACCAUAGCAACUCAGACUGUCCCCACGCCAGCUGACACGACACCCAUGGCAACUCUGACCAGCGCAGGAGAAACCACCGCAGCAACUCCAACAACCACCGCACACCUGGAGACUGCUGCAGGAAGAGAGACACUCACAACAGCCUCUGUCGUUGCCACGCCAAACACAACCACAACUCAAGGGGCUGUCCCCACAGCGACAGAAACCAGCCCUUCAGUGCUUGUCACCCUCACCCCGCCGAGGGUGACUACCACGGCUGUUCAGACCACCGCACCAACGUCUGUCACCGCGUCCCCAAUGGAAACAGCAUUAACAGUGGGCUCCAGCACAGAAACCACCCCGGUGGCCAACAGCCCCACCGGUGUGUCGAGUACUGCAACAAGCGAGAGCACAGCCCCAGCUCCUCGCACCACGGCAGCAGAAAGGGGAACUUCAACGGGCACCGUGACAGAGACACUCGUCACCAGCACNNNNNNNNNNUCAUCACCAGCACAACAGCUAAUACCACAACCGCCGUCAGGACCGCUGCAGCAACAGAGGUUCCCCAAACACUCCGUACUACCACCGUCCCAGCUGGAAACACGACGGUUACAUUCCCAGGUACAGCUAGCCCCACUGUGGCUGCACCGAGCACUCCAGCAACUCAGAACUUCAGUGCAGCUCCAACCACGGACUCCGCUGCUAGGCCUAACUCCACAGCCCGGCCCGGGAUCCCAGAUGUCACGACAGAAGAGCAGACAACAGCGGUGCCCAGCUGCCACCCUCCAGCUGCCAACACACCUGGUGCUCGCCUCUUCCUAUCACUGGGACUGACCACUCGCCUGAACAUCAGCGAGCCCCAGGUCAGGGGUAUGGUUUUGUCUAAGGUGAGCUUGGUGAAAUCUGACAGCUCUCCCAUAGACUGUCAACGCAGACCGCCAAGGGGAUUGCCUUUCAAAGCAACGGUUGAAUCGUUGGGGCUGAAUAGCCACUAGCACUGUAGAAAGAUGCAGAC
Long non-coding RNA from Chrysemys picta bellii (western painted turtle), 3636 nucleotides. NCBI's taxonomy places the organism in Eukaryota, Metazoa, Chordata, Testudines, Emydidae. The record is from Ensembl.